AGAGUUUGAUCAUGGCUCAGAAUCAACGCUGGCGGCGUGCCUAACACAUGCAAGUCGAACGGGAAGGGGGGCUUCGGCUCCCCGGAGAGUGGCGCACGGGUGAGUAACACGUGGGUAAUCUGCCUUUGGGUGGGGAAUAACGAUCCGAAAGGGUCGCUAAUACCGCAUAACGCAGCGGCACCGCAUGGUGACAGUUGUUAAAGCGGGGGAUCGCAAGACCUCGCGCCUGAAGAGGAGCCCGCGUCCGAUUAGCUAGUUGGUGAGGUAACGGCUCACCAAGGCUUCGAUCGGUAGCCGGCCUGAGAGGGCGGUCGGCCACACUGGCACUGAGACACGGGCCAGACUCCUACGGGAGGCAGCAGUGGGGAAUUUUGGGCAAUGGGCGCAAGCCUGACCCAGCAACGCCGCGUGAAGGACGAAAUCCCUCUGGGAUGUAAACUUCGAAAGUCAGGAAAGAAAUCCGCGUGGAUAAUACCCGUGCGGGAUGACGGUACCUGACGUAAGCCCCGGCUAACUACGUGCCAGCAGCCGCGGUAAUAC
This 540-nucleotide ribosomal RNA is filed under the name uncultured bacterium. Its description in RNAcentral is "bacterial SSU rRNA". It matches the Rfam family "Bacterial small subunit ribosomal RNA", at positions 8 to 526 of the family's 1533-position model. The record is from RNAcentral.